RNAcentral lists this ribosomal RNA (253 nucleotides) under uncultured bacterium. Its description in RNAcentral is "partial 16S ribosomal RNA". It matches the Rfam family "Bacterial small subunit ribosomal RNA", at positions 524 to 776 of the family's 1533-position model. The record is from RNAcentral.
UACGUAGGGUGCAAGCGUUAAUCGGAAUUACUGGGCGUAAAGCGUGCGCAGGCGGUUAUGCAAGACAGAUGUGAAAUCCCCGGGCUUAACCUGGGAACCGCAUUUGUGACUGCAUAGCUGGAGUACGGCAGAGGGGGAUGGAAUUCCGCGUGUAGCAGUGAAAUGCGUAGAUAUGCGGAGGAACACCGAUGGCGAAGGCAGUCCCCUGGGCCUGUACUGACGCUCAUGCACGAAAGCGUGGGGGGCAAACAGG